This 301-nucleotide ribosomal RNA is filed under the name uncultured bacterium. Its description in RNAcentral is "partial 16S ribosomal RNA". It matches the Rfam family "Bacterial small subunit ribosomal RNA", at positions 509 to 807 of the family's 1533-position model. The record is from RNAcentral.
CAGCAGCCACGGUAAUACGGAGGGAGCUAGCGUUGUUCGGAAUUACUGGGCGUAAAGCGCGCGUAGGCGGUUACUCAAGUCAGAGGUGAAAGCCCGGGGCUCAACCCCGGAACUGCCUUUGAAACUAGGUGACUAGAAUCUUGGAGAGGUCAGUGGAAUUCCGAGUGUAGAGGUGAAAUUCGUAGAUAUUCGGAAGAACACCAGUGGCGAAGGCGACUGACUGGACAAGUAUUGACGCUGAGGUGCGAAAGCGUGGGGAGCAAACAGGAUUAGAUACCCCCGUAGUCCCUGUCUCUUAUAC